GAUGAAGAACGUAGCAAAAUGCGAUACUUGGUGUGAAUUGCAGAAUCCCGUGAACCAUCGAGUUUUUGAACGCAAGUGGCGCCCGAAGCCUUUUGGCCGAGGGCACGUCUGCCUGGGCGUCACGCAUCGCGUCGCCCCCCACAAUUCUCCGUAAAGGGAACAUGUGUUUUGGGGGCGGAUAUUGGUCUCCCGUGCUCAUGGCGUGGUUGGCCGAAAUAGGAGUCCUUUCGAUGGACGCACGAACUAGUGGUGGUCGUAAAAACCCUCGUCUUUUGUUUCGUGCUGUUGCUCGCAAGGUAAACUCUUUAAAAACCCCAAUGUGUCGUCUCUUGACGACGCUUCGACCGCGACCCCAGGUCAGGCGGGACUACCCGCUGAGUUUAAGCAUAUCAAUAAGCGGAGGA
RNAcentral lists this unclassified non-coding RNA (404 nucleotides) under soil metagenome. RNAcentral's name for it is "partial contains 5.8S ribosomal RNA, internal transcribed spacer 2, and large subunit ribosomal RNA". The stretch from base 1 to 122 matches the Rfam family "5.8S ribosomal RNA", at positions 35 to 154 of the family's 154-position model. The record is from RNAcentral.